CCUACGGGUGGCAGCAGUGAGGGAUAUUGGUCAAUGGGGGAAACCCUGAACCAGCAACGUCGCGUGAGGGAAGACGGUUCUCGGAUUGUAAACCUCUGUCUUCUGUGAAGAUAAUGACGGUAGCCGAGGAGGAAGCUCCGGGUUAAUACGUGCCAGCAGCCGCGGGCAUUCGUAGGGAGCAAGCGUUGUCCGGGUUUACUGGGUGUUAAGGGUGCGUUGGGGGGCCUGCAAGUCAGGAGUGAAAACCAUGGGGUUAAACCGUGAAGUGCUGUUGAAACCGUUGGGCUUGAGUGGAGGAGAAGCAUGCGGAAUGCCCGGGGUAGCGGUGAAAGGCAUAGAGAUCAGGAAGAAACCCGAUUGCGAAGGCAGCCUACUGGGGCUUAACUGACGCUGAAGCACGAAAGCGUGGGUAGCGAACAGGAUUAGAUACCCGUGUAGUC
RNAcentral lists this ribosomal RNA (440 nucleotides) under uncultured bacterium. RNAcentral's name for it is "partial 16S ribosomal RNA". It matches the Rfam family "Bacterial small subunit ribosomal RNA", at positions 338 to 795 of the family's 1533-position model. The record is from RNAcentral.